This 257-nucleotide ribosomal RNA is filed under the name uncultured bacterium. RNAcentral's name for it is "partial 16S ribosomal RNA". It matches the Rfam family "Bacterial small subunit ribosomal RNA", at positions 524 to 776 of the family's 1533-position model. The record is from RNAcentral.
UACAUGGGGUGCAAACGUUGCUCGGAAUUAUUGGGCGUAAAGCGCACGUAGGCGGUUCGUUAAGUCGGAUGUGAAAGCCCUCGGCUCAACUGAGGAAGUGCACCCGAAACUGGCGAGCUUGAGUACGAAAGAGGAUCGCGGAAUUCCCGGUGUAGAGGUGAAAUGCGCAGAUAUCAGGAGGGAAACACCGGUGGCGAAGGCGGGUCUCUGGGCAGUAACUGACGCUGGAGGAGCGGAAAGCGUGGGGAGCAAACAGG